Felis catus (domestic cat) is the source of this 1295-nucleotide long non-coding RNA. RefSeq lists it as uncharacterized. The transcript is spliced from 3 exons. The record is from RefSeq and is a predicted model, not a curated record. Lineage: Eukaryota; Metazoa; Chordata; Mammalia; Carnivora; Felidae.
GAUUCGGACCCUGCCGUCCAUUGUAUUUGCCGUCCCCGGGUCCCUUGUGCCUCUGGGACUCACGGGUGUGAGGAAACGUCUCCCACCUCGGCACUGAGUCACUGAGAAAAACACCCAAGAGCACAAACGGAAGACUGCACGCUUCUCUCCGUAAUGACACCGAUGCAUCGGUCAGGGGGCUCCGCGUGUGGCUGUUACCUUGUCCCCGAUUCUCUUCUCUGAGCCGAAGCGUCACCAACACGGCGUGGGGGCCAGGUCUUCCCAUCUGCGUAGCCCAGGCUGCCAAGCAACAAGGCAGGUGUUUACAAAACACAUUGGCUGGAUAAGAUGCUUGUCCGAAUGCCGUAUCUCGAACUUUCGUCUCCUCUGGAAGGACGUAAUAUCCUGUGACGGAAGUCCACAUAAUUGCCCAUUAAAACAUUGGCGUGAAGUCUGAGUCUAGGAAUCCUGUCAAGGAAAGAAACGAUCCUCUCCCCCCUUCCUGGGUCCUAGUUACCAUGGUUUCCUCUUCAGACUGUUAUCUUAGCAACCUGUUCUAGACUCUUCGCAGGGAUCUACUUCAAAUUCACCAGUCUGUAGUUGGCCUCAAAGGGAACUUCCGUUUCACGUGGUUAUUGAAACGCCACUUAAUCACUUCUGGGAUCUGCGUUCUUUUCUCCUGCUCUGUUUGUCGAAGAUCACCAAGAUGUCCCCCAUUCACAGAAGCUCCCCGGCCUCUGAGGUCUCCCUCAAGGCCGUGGUGGCGCCCACAACUUUCCUGUGCAGCAUCGGGAACGCUUUCAACUCCCACACAGCCCGUUUGCCUGAGCGUCGCCCUGACCCGGAAAACGCAAGAGCGUGUCGGAGUGAGUAUGGCUCACAGGGAGGAAAGGGCCUGCCGGGAGCCAGGAGGGCAGCCAGGCCAGGUGUUGGGGGCAUCUGGGCACAGAAGCCAGGACAGUAUGUGGCCAGUGUCAGCCUCCUCCUCCGGGGACUACCUUGAAAGCCCACGGUACCUCCUACCGCAGCCACCCGAGCAAUCUGGGAUCCCACACAAGCGUGCCGUGCCUUCUGGAGAGGAAGUGUUUAGGAAUAUUUUAGAAACAACAACAACGAAAACAAGAACAAAAACAAAACCGGCUGCCAGAGGCUGAAACUCAGAAAUCUCAAAAUUCUUAUGCAUCCCCAGACCUUCUAAACAAUACGAAUAUUCUCCUUGGCAGCCAAUGGAAAUGAAGGCGAGUUACCCCGGAAGGAAGGUGUGCAGGGAAUUGGCAGUGUUGUGCCCAGAGCCACAGGUGCCUCCUCCAAAAGGC